GGGCGGGGGUUGGGGGCCGCGGGGUCCCUGCCCCACCCCUCUCCCCGCCCUCGGGCGCCAGCCCGGCCCCUCGCCCGCGGCCCGCCCGGGCUGUGACACAUCAGCACCGCCCUCGCGGCUGGGGCCCCGUAUUGUCCUCCGCUGCCUCACACCGCAUGCCCAGCCUCGCGUCUACUCAGCCCGGUGCCUGUCGCGCGUGGAAUCGCGUAAGAAAAGCCGAGUUUGUGGCUGGGGAGAGAAGGCCACCGUGCUGAGCUGGAUUUAGCGAAGACUGGUUUUGGGGACCGGAGAUCCCAGGACUCCCUUUGUUGGAGUUUUGCCCACGCGUUGUAAUUAAGCCUCGCACAAUAUGGUGAGAGUGGGCGUUGAUUCUGGAGACACCAGCUUUGUGCUCGUGUAAUGUAACAGGAGUGCCGUUGCUUUCUCAUUCUUACACGGCAGUUUCGUGUCAUUGAGUAGAAUUGUGCGGAAUGCUUUUAUGGAGUGAGGCUUCUGCGUUAAACUUGUGCUGAUUCCAGGUUGAUGACAAUUAGAAGCAUGCUUUCCACUGAACUUCCCGACAACAUUUGUUAUGCAGAAUGUCUCUGAGUGAGAACUCGGUUUUUGCCUAUGAAUCUUCUGUGCAUAGCACCAAUGUUUUACUCAGCCUUAAUGACCAGCGGAAGAAGGAUGUGCUGUGCGAUGUCACCAUCUUUGUGGAGGGUCAGCGGUUCCGCGCUCACCGGUCUGUGCUGGCGGCAUGCAGCAGUUACUUCCACUCGAGAAUCGUAGGCCAGGCUGAUGGAGAGCUGAACAUUACUCUUCCAGAAGAGGUGACAGUUAAAGGAUUUGAACCUUUAAUUCAGUUUGCCUACACUGCUAAACUGAUUUUAAGUAAAGAGAAUGUGGAUGAAGUGUGCAAAUGUGUGGAGUUUUUAAGUGUACACAAUAUUGAGGAAUCCUGCUUUCAGUUUCUGAAAUUUAAGUUUUUGGACUCCACUGCAGACCAGCAAGAAUGCCCAAGAAAAAAAUACUUUUCAUCACACUGUCAGAAAACAGACCUUAAACUUUCACUUUUGGACCAGAGGGAUCCAGAAACUGAUGAAGUGGAGGAAUUUCUGGAAAAUAAAAAUGUUCAGACUCCUCAGUGUAAACUCCGCAGGUAUCAAGGAAAUGCAAAAGCCUCACCUCCUCUACAAGACAGUGCCAGUCAGACAUAUGAGUCCAUGUGCUUAGAGAAGGAUGCUGCUCUGGCCUUGCCUUCUUUAUGCCCCAAAUACAGAAAAUUCCAAAAAGCAUUUGGAACUGACAGAGUCCGUACUGGGGAAUCUAGUGUCAAAGACAUUCAUGCUUCUGUUCAGCCAAAUGAAACGUCUGAAAAUGAAUGCCUGGGAGGAGUCCCGGAGUGUAGGGAUUUGCAGGUGAUGUUAAAAUGUGAGGAAAGUAAAUUAGCAAUGGAACCUGAAGAAACGAAGAAAGAUCCUGCUUCUCAGUGCCCAAUUGAAAAAUCAGAAGUGACUCCUUUCCCCCACAAUUCUUCCAUAGACCCUCAUGGACUUUAUUCUUUGUCUCUUUUACACACGUAUGACCAAUAUGGUGACUUGAAUUUUGCUGGUAUGCAAAACACAACAGUGUUAACAGAAAAGCCUUUGUCAGGUACAGACAUCCAAGAAAAAACAUUUGGCGAAAGUCAGGAUUUACCUUUGAAAUCCGACUUGGGCACCAGGGAAGAUAGUAGUCUUGCAUCUAGUGAUAGGAGUAGUGUGGAGCGAGAAGUGGCAGAACACCUAGCAAAAGGCUUCUGGAGUGACAUUUGCAGCACGGACACUCCUUGCCAAAUGCAGUUAUCACCUGCUGUGGCCAAAGAUGGCCCAGAACAGAUCUCACAGAAACGGUCUGAGUGUCCUUGGUUAGGUAUCAGGAUUAGUGAGAGCCCAGAACCAGGUCAAAGGACUUUUACAACAUUAAGUUCUGUCAACUGCCCUUUUAUAAGUACUCUGAGUACUGAAGGCUGUUCAAGCAAUUUGGAAAUUGGAAACGAUGAUUAUGUUUCAGAACCCCAGCAAGAACCUUGCCCAUAUGCUUGUGUCAUUAGCUUGGGAGAUGACUCUGAGACGGACACCGAAGGAGACAGUGAAUCCUGUUCAGCCAGAGAACAAGAAUGUGAGGUAAAACUGCCAUUCAAUGCACAACGGAUAAUUUCACUGUCUCGAAAUGAUUUUCAGUCCUUGUUGAAAAUGCACAAGCUUACUCCAGAACAACUGGAUUGUAUCCAUGAUAUUCGAAGAAGAAGUAAAAACAGAAUUGCUGCACAGCGCUGUCGCAAGAGAAAACUUGACUGUAUACAGAAUCUUGAAUCAGAAAUUGAGAAGCUAGGUUCUGUGGAAAAUCUGAUGUGCCAAGAAGUGUUCCAUACCAUUCUGAGAACUUUGGAUACCUGCUCAGACAGCUCUGUUUCAGCUAAACAGUAACAUCUGUGAGGGAAGCUUAAUGUGGAAUCAAGGAUGAAGUUUAACACAGGAAUGAAGAGUAGAGCACGUAGCUGCUAAGAUAAGCAUUUGAGAAGGAACUGGCCAAGAAGCAUUUUUGGAAUUCUUAGCUGACCACCCACCUCCAGCCUAAAGGCUGAAAAGACUAAGAAGAGUUUUUUGGAGAAGAUAGAGAAUUUUGUUAGAAAAUGUGGUAGUGCUGGGACUCUAACCUUCUUAAUAUUAGUGAGGGGGGCUAUGAGAUGCCCACUAAAAAAGCCUUGACAUGAGUCACUUAGAGUUUGGGAGACACAAAGGACUGGCAUGUUAUGCAUAAAAAAUAUUGCUUGAGUAGAUGGAUGAAACUUCUGUGGCAGCAGAAUAGAGUGGCAUUUGGGAAGAAGUAGAAUUGGCACUGGUAGGGGUAAAAGUUAUAGGACUUCAGCCACCAGAUGUGGAACCUAAAUGAGGACUGUUUGUCUGAGGUCAUUUCCAAGGGGAUCCUAUUCAACAGGGCUUCCUCCAGGGAGGGAGGCUGCUUUGAAAGAGAAAAUCUGAGAUUUACCCUCAGGUACAGAAGCUGAAGGAUUGCUCAUGGUCAACCAAUGGAGCUCUAAAAGAUGAGCAGGAAGCUGGGUGAAGAGGAAGCAUGUUUUGAGCCAAGGCAAUUGCAUAUGCAAAGGCUGAGGGAUGAGAGAGGGCCUCUUGUGGUUUAUUUGUAGAGCUGAAAGAUGUUUGAUGUGGUUGCAUUCCAUGUAUGUGUGGCCGGGGAUAAUGAGGGCUCCAGGUUGGAGGAGUGACAUGUGGUGAGUGAGGAGGGGGGUGAGAAGAGUCCAGACCUUCUCAGAUAUAUGAUGAAGUUUGACAUUUAUCUUAAGGACAAUGGGAAACUUCUGAAAGGUGUGAUAUGAUCAGUCCUGUGUUUCAUGGUUUAUUUUGGCUGCAGUGAGGAGAGUGGAUUGUGGAGUGGGAAGAGUGGAAUGGGAGAUACCAGUAAGAAGCCACAGCUGUAGUCAGACAAGAAGUUAGGUGGGCUGGACCAGGGAUGUGUUCGUGGGAAAUCAGAACAGUGGCCAGAUUCAUGAAACAUGGCAGAGAUGACUGUCCUGAGGUAGAAAAAGAGCUAGUAAAAAAGAUAGAACCACAGACGAUCCCCAGGUUCCUUUCUUGAACAACAGAAUGGAAGAUGUUUCUGUUCAAUGCGAUGGUGAACACGAGGUCAGAAGAGGUUUGUGGAACCAGGUGUUAAAUUCAAUGAUGAGUGUACUGCAGGCAAGGCAUGCUGUGCGGCACCCAUGUGGUGGUUGACGUGUAAGACUUCUGCUCAGGAGGAAGAUUUGGGCCAAAGCUUUACAUUUGUGCCUUUGGCAUAUGGUCCACUUUUGAAGCUAUGUGAGAGGAAAAGCUUGCCUGAAAAGAGUGUGUGUGGUGAACAGAGGAGACAGCCCAGGACAGACCCCAAAAGAAUACAGAUGAUUGGGAAAGAAGAACCCACAACGGAGAUAAGGAACACUAGAGGAGAAGGAAGAUCAGAAGCAAGCAAGAUCUUGCAGCAGCAAGAUUUAUUGCGAAGAGUGAAAGAACAAAGCUUCCACAGCGUGGAAGGGGACCGGAGCGGGUUGCCCCUGCUGACUGGGGUGGCCAGCUUUUAUUCCCUUAUUUGGCCGUGCCACAUCCUGCUGAUUGGUCCAUUUUACAGAGCACCGAUUGGUCCAUUUUACAGAGUGCUGAUUGGUCUGUUUUUGCAGAGUGCUGAUUGGUGCGUUUACAAACCUUUAGCUAGACACAGAGUGCUGAUUGGUCCGUUUUUACAGAGUGCUGUUUGGUGCGUUUACAAACCCAUAGUUAGACACAGAGCAAUGAUUGGUGCGUUUUUACAGAGUGCUGAUUGGUGCGUUUACAAACACUUAGCUAGACAUAGAGCAUUGAUUGGUGCGUUUUUACAGAGUGCUGAUUGGUGCAUUUACAAACCUUUAGCUAGACACAGAGUGCUGAUUGGUGUGUUUACAAUCCUUUAGCUGGACAGAAAAGUUCUCCAAAUCCCCACCCAACCCAGAAGCCCAGCCGGCUUCACCUCUCAAUACCCCCUCUAAACAGGACACCCCACUGCUGUUGGGAAUUGGGCGAUGACUGCUCUAGCUACUUCAUGCUGGAUAGAGGCAAAGAAGGGUCCCUGCAGUUGCAGUGUCCUCCAGAGGGGAACUCUCUAGGCCAGUGAAAGGGCCAGUGGGUUGGUCCAGGGGUCCUCAGUAGAAGUUGUUAGUUGAGCUCAUUUGGGGUUCCAUUUGUAAGACCAUCUGUAGCUUGAUGGCCUCUAUUCUAGAGGAAACAGAUUUGACAAGGAGGUUAAAAAUAAGGGUCCGAAGGCGAGUAAUAGCAAGAUGGCUGCCACAGGACCUAGAAAGGGGAGAAGCCAUGUUGCCCAACUACAGAGGUUGGUAUAAGAGUUUUGAAAGGCGUUGUCUGAUUUCAGAAGCCUUUUCCUGUAAACGCCAGGUGGCAUCUCGUACUAUCCCUGACUGGUUAGUGUAAAAACAACAUUCUUGCCCUAAGAAGUUGCAGAGUCCUCCUUUCUCAGCAGUGAGGAGGUCUAGGCCUUGGUGGUUUUGGAGAGUCACUGCUGCCAAAGAGUCUAUUUGGGAUUGUAGAGUAAGGAUAGAUUUCGUUAUUUCUUGCAAACUAUCUGAGAAAUCCUUUGAGAGUGUGUGGUAGUAGGAUAAUGAAGUAGAUAAACUGGCUAUUCCAGUUCCUGUAGCAGUAGCCAUUCCUAACCCUAUUAAGUAGGGGUAUUAAUUGUAUGGCUCUGCACUGACGGACUUGAGCUUUGAGGGGAACAGAUAGGGUCUGAUUUCCUAAGAUUAGAAGUUACUACAAUACAUGUUACACUGUUAACUUUUAGCAAACUUUUGUUGAAAACCUUGUAAGUUUGGGGUUUUAAUUUUUCUUUGCUAUUAAUAAAACCUCAUUCAGUCCAUAUUAACUUAGAAUUGGUAUAGAUGGCUCCUUCCUGAUUCUGUAAGUACUUUAAGGUUUGGCUGAGUGCAAACAGCUGCAUGUUUGAACAGACCAAUUAUUAGGCAAUUUUCCUAACUGCUUCUACAAGAGUUUCCUUAUCACUUACUGAAUACCCAUUGUGUCUUUUUUCCUUAGUCGCUGGGAAGGAACCAUCUAUCAUCCUGUCCUGAAGGGAGUUCCUCCUAGAUCUGGUCAGACCUUUGUAUGGUAAUUAAUUAAGAUUUAGAUCCCUGUUAGGAAACCUGCUGGGUUAAGGAUUUUUGAUAGGAAGGCUAUGGGUUGUCAGUGGCUUCAGUGCUUUCAGGCUACACCCUUGUUUACACUGACAACAAGGUGAUAUUGGAGUGUUAUAGGGUUACAGAGAAGACCUUCAAUUAUCAAUUUUAGGUUUUAAAUUUACCCUGGCUUUUAAUGGAAUAGGGUACACUGUUUUUCCUUUACUACUUGUAUCUCUUUCUCUCUCUUUGACUUCUUCUUUGUCUGUCUCUUUCUUUCUCUCUCUCCUUUCUGUUGCCUCUGCCAGCUGCGUAUGCUGCUGUUUUCCCCUCUCCUUCCCCUUUUGAUGGCUUUGGCAGUGUAAGACUGCCACCUCCUUGGGUUUUUGCACUGCAUGCAAUAACUCCAUGGUUUCUUUGUGAUAUUUAACGGGGGUUCCCCCAGAGGUUAGUAACUCCCUUUCUUUCCAUAUUGCAGCAUGGGUAUGUAGGAUUAGAUAAGCAUACUUGCUAUCUGUAUAUACAUUUAUUCUUCUUCCCUUUCCCAGUUCUAAGGCUUGGGUCAGUGCCACUAGUUCUGCUAACGGGGCGCUGGUCCCUGGGGGAAGAGGCUUACUUUCAAGUACUGUUACUAUGGCAUAAACUGCCCUUCGUAUCCCAUUCUCCACAAAUGAACUUCCAUCGGUAUAUAAGUUAAGGUCAGGAUUAGCUACGGGGACGUCUAAGAGAUCAUGUCAGGCGGCGUAAGUCUGGACUAUAAUUUGUUGGCAGUCGUACUCGAUUGGUUCCCCAUCCUCUGGGAGAAAAGUGGCAGGGUUGAGGGCCACGCAUGUAUGUAUUUGAAGCAUCAGUCGCUCAAUGAGUAGCACCUGGUAUCUGAGUAGGUGGUUGUCUGACAGCCAUAAACUUCCUUUGGCACCUAGUGUGCCAUUUAUAUCAUGAGUAGUCCAGACAGUGAGAUCUUUUCCUUGUAUUAUUUUGAUAGCCUUUGACACUAAGACGGCCACUGCCACAACUACCCUUAAAGAGUGAGGCCAGCCUUUUGCUACUACAUCAUUUCCUUACUUAGGUAUGCCACUGGUUGUGGGGUUGCCCCAUGAGUCUGAGUAAGGACUCCAAGAGCCAUCCCUGUUCUCUCUGUGAUGCAUAAAGAAAAGUUUCAUCCUGUGGGAAGGCUUAAAGCUGGAGCUUGAGUUUGUUCCUUCCAAUGCCCAGACUUCAGUGUUGAUUCCCUCCUCAAGUAGGGGACAACAAAUGGGUAACUCGUUCCCCAUAUUCAUGUAGAUAAUAGCUCCAGCUUUGGCUACUCCUACUGGAUCUAGUGGAGUCAGUGUGAUCUGCUUCUCCCACUCACCUAGUCCCCACAUGCCUUGAGAGCUAGUCCCUGUGGUCUGGUGUCCACCCCUCAUUUCUUCUGCCCUUUCCUUAUACUUCCCUGCUGGAGUGACUGGAAGUGGGGAUGCUCGUCCCUGGACACAGGGGAGAGGGAGGGCCCUUGGGGUUGUCACUUCCUCUGCCCUUUCCUUCAUGGGUGGGGCAGGAAGGGCACAUUUGAUGUUAGCAAUUCAGCGUAAAAGUGAAAACUAAUUUGGCCUCAAGAUUUAAGAGUCAUCCAAACAACAGCUACAGGGCUAAUAUCUUCAAUCUUUACACAUCUGACAAUAUCCAAUAAAAAGAACACCAAACUACAGCAAGACAAAGGAGCAACAGACAUGGGCCUGCAGAGGACAAAAGAGAAAACAGGAGCACUCAGUAACCAGGAACUCAGGGACUUUGGAGGCAACCUGUGUGGGUUAAACAUGCUCUUGAAGAUUUUUAUCAUUAUUUCUCAUUAGAAAUAUAAAAAGUGGGCUGGGUGCUGUGGCUCACGCCUGUAAUCCCAGCACUUUGGGAGGCCGAGGCAAGUGGAUCACGAGAUCAGGAGUUCAAGACCAGCCUGGCCAACAUGGUGAAACCUCAUCUCUACUAAAAAUCCGAAAAUUAGCCGGGUGUGGUGGAGGGCGCCUGUAAUCCCAGCUACUGGGGAGGCUGAAGCAGGAGGAUUGCUUGACCUCAGGAGGCAGAGGUUGCAGUAAGCUGAGAUCACACCACUGCACUCCAGCCUGGGUGACAGAGUGAGACUCUGUCUCAGAAUAAGAAAGAAAGAAAGAAAGAAAUGUAAAAAGUGCUAAAUAGAAAGAAGUAAAAAAUAUAUCAAAUUAGAAAACAAAAAAUGAGGGGGAGUGAAACUGGCAUUCUAACACAAGGGGGGUAGUAUUUAAAAUAGCUUUUAUGCUUUGGGGAAACAAUUUGAUAUUUUAUUUAAAACAUUUUAAACUAGCCAUAACAUUUGACCCAGUAAUUGUAUGCCAAGGAAUCCAUCCUGAAAAACAAUAAUCUUAAAUUUUAGGACUAUUAUUAAUCAAUAAUAAUAAUAAUAAUAAUAAAAAUUUCUUCUUAUAUCAAGAUGUCCAUCAUAGCAUUUAUCAUAGUAAAUAAUUUUGAAUAAACUUUUGGAAAUGGAAAAAAGCAAAGCACUAUAUUGUAUCUCUACUCAAACUAAGAUUUGACACUGUACUCAGCUCUUUUUAUAAUUUUUUCACUUAAUCCUCACAGUAAAAUCAAAUGUUUGACACAAUGAUUGUCCCUUUAUGAGUUUUCAGCUAACAAAAUGUUUAUGGUAAACAUGGAAUAAAAUGAAAAAUACUCAUGACAGGUGCUAAACAUGAAAGCAAGUGAUUUACGUAUCCAGUACGAUUAUAACCAGGUAUAUCAAAAUCUCUCUGUGAAUAAAAAAAUACUGAAGUCCAUCUGGGGUGAACAGUUGUUAUUUAUUAAAAUUUGCUUUUGCGAGUACUCAUGAAUCUUGAGACAAUAACCACCACCACGAUCGUAAAACUAUCAAACAUGAUUUUAAGCAAAGAAAGAAAUGGGAAAAACCGUGAAAGGAAAAUAAAUCUCAAGACUCCAGAAUCACUAAGCCAAAGGGAAAAGUCAAGCUCGGAACUGCAUCAGACAAACCUGCCUCUGAUUUUAUUCCUAAAUAAAAUAACUACAAAGAAAAAAAUAAAAAUAAAAAAGCUACAUACCUCCCUCACAAUUUGCCCACAAGGAAACUCCUUGUGAGCCUCAAGAUCUUUACCCUAAAACAGUUCUGUUGAACUUCAUCCUGGCCAUAUUAAUUGAUACCUUAUCUUCACAGGCCCAGGACAGAGGACAGACAGAACUCUUGAUCAUUGCUCUGCUCACCUGUGACAAAUGCAUUUCUCAUUGCUUCCUCUGACCUAUUUUUUAUGUAAAAAUGCAGAUUGACUGAGUCAGACUAAGGCAUCAGUGACUAUUCCUCUAUCCAUUCCACCUUACAUGUAUUCAGUGAAAGGCUGAUCAAAGACCCCAAAGAAUGAAACCUUUUGUCCCUUAUCUACCUCUGACCUGGAAGCCCUUACUUUGAGUUGUCCCACCUUUCUGGACCAAACCAAUGUACAUCUUAUGCAUAUCGAUUGAGGUCUCAUCAAUGUAUAAAAUCAAGCUAAAAUGUAUAAAACCAAGCUGUGCCCUGACCACUUGGGUACAUAUCAUCAUGUACCCAAGACUUCCUGACGCUGUCACAGGCACGUCCUUAGCCUUGGCAGAUAAACUUUCUAAAUUAAUUGAGACCUGUCUCAAAUACUUUGGGCUCACAAAACGUAGCUGUCCGUCAGGCAGAUAUCUAAAAGCAAGAAGUGGUAUUUUUACUCAGCUAAAAGCUGCUAUCUUGGCGGCGGCCUCAGAGGCCUUCCACAAUGAACUCCCUCCCCAACCCUCUGGCCUCAUUCCCAGGCCCCUGUCCUCUCCUGGGAACUCCUGGGAAUGUCAUGUUUGUCCCAUUGUCAUCUUGUCAGUGAGGCUCCCCUGACUGCCCACAUUAAGACUGCAUCUGGCCAGGCGCAGUGGCUCACGCCUGUAAUCCCAGCACUUUGGGAGGCCGAGGUGGGUGGAUCACCUGAGGUCAGGAGUUCAAGACCAGCCUGGCCAACAUGGCGAAACCCUGUCUCUACUAAAAAUACAAAAAUUACCCGGGUGUGGUGGCGCACACCUGUAAUCCCAGCUGCUCAGGAGGCUGAGACAGGAGAAUCGCUUGAACCCACGAGGUGGAGGUUGCAGUGAGCCGAGAUGGCACCACUGCACUCUAGCCUGGGGCAACAGAGCAAGACCCUGUCUCAAAAAAAAAAAAAAAAAACCGCAUGCUUCCUCCUUCCUACCAUUCUACCUCCAAUCCCCAUCCCCAUAUCCUGCCCUCUUGUUUUCUCUCUUUGUAAUGCCUGCCACCUCCCAACAUAGUAAAGAAUGAGCUCAUUUACUUAGUCUAGUGUUUAAUGUCUGUCUCACUCCACUAGAAUGUAAGCAUCA
RNA transcript from Pongo pygmaeus (Bornean orangutan), 10045 nucleotides. It is a transcript of the gene named BTB domain and CNC homolog 1, with no coding region annotated. NCBI's taxonomy places the organism in Eukaryota, Metazoa, Chordata, Mammalia, Primates, Hominidae. The transcript has 6 exons. The record is from RefSeq and is a predicted model, not a curated record.